Molecule: ribosomal RNA, 497 nt
Filed under: uncultured bacterium
Lineage: Bacteria
Description: partial 16S ribosomal RNA
Rfam family: Bacterial small subunit ribosomal RNA
Source: RNAcentral
UAUUAACGCUGGCGGCGUGCCUAAUACAUGCAAGUCGAGCGAACAGACGAGGAGCUUGCUCCUCUGACGUUAGCGGCGGACGGGUGAGUAACACGUGGAUAACCUACCUAUAAGACUGGGAUAACUUCGGGAAACCGGAGCUAAUACCGGAUAAUAUAUUGAACCGCAUGGUUCAAUAGUGAAAGACGGUUUUGCUGUCACUUAUAGAUGGAUCCGCGCCGCAUUAGCUAGUUGGUAAGGUAACGGCUUACCAAGGCAACGAUGCGUAGCCGACCUGAGAGGGUGAUCGGCCACACUGGAACUGAGACACGGUCCAGACUCCUACGGGAGGCAGCAGUAGGGAAUCUUCCGCAAUGGGCGAAAGCCUGACGGAGCAACGCCGCGUGAGUGAUGAAGGUCUUCGGAUCGUAAAACUCUGUUAUUAGGGAAGAACAAAUGUGUAAGUAACUAUGCACGUCUUGACGGUACCUAAUCAGAAAGCCACGGCUAACUACGUG